GCCGUCCUGCCCUGCUCGUGAUGAGCCUUUUUAAACCCACAUUUAUAAUCAGGGACGCCGGCACUCUUUCGGCGAAUUGCAGGCCUCCCGCCCGGCGCUCGCGGGUAACCGCGAUAACGCCGCGGCGGACGUUGGAAGCAGCGAACCCGAAAGGAGGCAUCCCACCUGCCUUAAUGAUGCAGGGUUAUAAAUGGGCUUACACGGCAGGCGCGGGACGUCU
Molecule: non-coding RNA, 220 nt
Filed under: Oscillospiraceae bacterium
Lineage: Bacteria; Bacillati; Bacillota; Clostridia; Eubacteriales; Oscillospiraceae
Description: 6S RNA
Rfam family: 6S / SsrS RNA
About the family: E. coli 6S RNA was the first non coding RNA to be sequenced, but its function was unknown until recently. It consists of 184 nucleotides that fold into an extended hairpin structure with a large single-stranded internal bulge. The 6S RNA specifically associates with RNA polymerase holoenzyme containing the sigma70 specificity factor.
Source: RNAcentral